Molecule: unclassified non-coding RNA, 520 nt
Filed under: uncultured Glomus
Lineage: Eukaryota; Fungi; Glomeromycota; Glomeromycetes; Glomerales; Glomeraceae
Description: SSU rRNA
Rfam family: Eukaryotic small subunit ribosomal RNA
Source: RNAcentral
AGCAGCCGCGGUAAUUCCAGCUCCAAUAGCGUAUAUUAAAGUUGCUGCAGUUAAAAAGCUCGUAGUUGAAUUUCGGGACCAAUAUGUCGGUCGUGCCUCGGUACGUACUGGCAUCGUUGGUUUCUCCUUUCUGAAGAACCAUGAUGUCAUUUAUUUGGUGUCGUGGGGAAUCAGGACUGUUACUUUGAAAAAAAUUAGAGUGUUUAAAGCAGGCUCACGCUUGAAUACAUUAGCAUGGAAUAAUGAAAUAGGACGUUUGAUUCUAUUUUGUUGGUUUCUAGGAUCGACGUAAUGAUUAAUAGGGAUAGUUGGGGGCAUUAGUAUUCAAUUGUCAGAGGUGAAAUUCUUGGAUUUAUUGAAGACUAACUACUGCGAAAGCAUUUGCCAAGGAUGUUUUCAUUAAUCAAGAACGAAAGUUAGGGGAUCGAAGACGAUCAGAUACCGUCGUAGUCUUAACCAUAAACUAUGCCGACUAGGAAUCAGACGAUGUUAAUUUUUUAAUGACUCGUUUGGCACCUUA